This 81-nucleotide ribosomal RNA is filed under the name Bifrenaria tyrianthina. RNAcentral describes it as "partial 26S ribosomal RNA". It matches the Rfam family "Eukaryotic large subunit ribosomal RNA", at positions 1 to 81 of the family's 3401-position model. Lineage: Eukaryota; Viridiplantae; Streptophyta; Magnoliopsida; Asparagales; Orchidaceae. The record is from RNAcentral.
GCGACCCCAGGAUGGGCGAGGCCACCCGCCGAGUUUAAGCAUAUCAAUAAGCGGAGGAGAAGAAAUUACGAGGAUCCCCUA